CAUAUCAAUGGAGUUCGGAGCGACAAAGAAGAUUGAGGCGAUCAAGAAGACAGGUGAUUUCACAAAGAUCAAAGCUACUCAGCCACGUCAACAAGUUUUCCCACAUUCGUUCAACUCCCUAUUUGACAGCCAUCAGUCUCAGAAAAAACCCCAUAGUGAUCCCCCCACGUUCUCUUCUUUUGGAUCUAUGCAAAAGAAACUAGGGAUUUCUAAAACCCUUUUUGAUUCUGAUCAAGGAUGGACAGUAGUUAGCUGGAAAAAGAAAUCCAACCAGAUGGACAAUAAGCUUCUCAAAUACCCCUUCCCAUCAGAUUACAUGGAUCCCAAACAACCCCGACGAUGUUUCAACUGUGGGGAUGAACGUCAUUCAGUUAAAUUUUGCCCUAAGGGGGCUUUCAUCUGUUUCAAAUGUCAUGAGGAAGGGCAUAUUGCUAAAUUCUGCAGAUCUAAUCUUCGUCCUCUAGAGAAGAAGGUGGAUUUGUCAGAAUCUACAACUCUUUGCAACAACUCCAAAGUGCUCACUUCUUUUGCUAUUCUCACUAUCACUGAAGGUGCUCCAUCGUUAGAAUUGAUCAAAAUCAAGCUGUCUUGGCUUUUCAAUUGGAAGUCUUGGAGUAGAAAAGUUAUACCUAUUAAAGACAAGAAUUACUUGGUGGAAUUCCCCUCUUCUUUUCAAAUGUCGGAAGCAAUUGACGAAAAAAGUUUGAAUUUUGAAUGCUUUAAGGGUUGGUUUGCACCGUGUACAGAAAAUAUGGGUAUGAAAAUUGUGAAUUCUUCUUUCUUUCAAUGGAUUAAGAUUAAAAUUUUACCAUUUCAAUUCUGGUCCUUGGAUAUUACCAAGAAGAUCAUAGGAUCCUUUGGGGAAAUGGUGAGGGGUUGUAAGAACAUCAAAGACAAAGUUAAUGACCACGAUAUUAGAGUGCUUGUUCAAGUUAAAUCUGCUGAAUGUAUUCCAAGAAACAUUAUCUGUUCUUAUACUUCUCAAAUUGAUUCGUUCACUAGAGAAGUGAAUUUGGAAAUUCAACCUAUUGGUGUUGGACAAUUUGGUUCAGAAGUUAUUGGCUCACAACUUAAUGCUAUGAAAAUGCAAGGAGAAGUGAUAAUUGAUUCUCUAUGGCUUGAUCAAGUCACUCUUGAUAAUGUCAUCGUACCUCCGGUAGUAAGUUGACCGGAAAAAGUUCAAUUUGUUCUCAAAACAGAUAAGACUAAAGCAGUCAAUGUUAUGGUUUCAAAUGCAGAGGAAAUCAAGGAGGAUAAUGCGAUGCCGUUACCAGAGGGUAUUCAAAAUUUGCCAAUUUUGGCAACUAACUAUCAGGCAGAAUCUCAGGCGAAUUCUUCUAAUGACAGCUCUGAGUCGUUUGCCAAAUCUAUUCAUGAUUUCCCAGUAGAAUUAGUCAAGCAUAUUUGGAAUGGACAAACGGCCUAUCUGGAGAAAUUAACUUGGCUUAAUUUUUUUGGCGGGAAACAUGACGUCAGCAAUUCAAAUUCUUCAGCUACCUCUCUCCCGCCAAAAUCAAAUGAUACUCCAGCCCUUCAGAUGUCCACUUCUAUUCCUCCAGGUUUUUCACAUAAGCAAUCUUCUUCGACAUCUCGUUCAGCAAGGAAAGCUCUUAUCAGCCGCAAACACAAGAAGUUCUUGCAACACAUCUCUUCAUCUAAAUCUGCCUCUAAAAUUGCUAAAAAAGUCAAUGCUCCCAUUGAUAGAGAAGACAAGGAUGUUUAUUGGUGGGAACUUUCAAGACUUCGUCAGAUUUUUGAUGGUCCAUGGAUUAUUUGUGGGGAUUUCAAUGCUACUUUAUCAUCAGAGGAAAGAAAUGGCAAAAAUAGUUCUUUUAGAGAUAUCAAUUCUUUCAGAAACUUUGUCUCAUCCAAUUCCCUUAUCAACCUACCAUUGUCUGGACGUUAUUUUACUUGGUCUAACAAACGUCACAACCCUGUGUUAGCUAGAUUGGAUAUAUUCUUAGUUUGUGCUGACCGGGAUAGGAAACAUCCUUUAAGUCUCCAAUAUUAUGGACCUUCUAUUGGCUCUGAUCACUCUCCAAUUAUUCUUGAUUGUGGGGGUAUAAAACCUAAUCCUCCAUUAUUCAGAUUGAAAAGAGUUGGUUUCAUAACAACAAAUUUGUUCCUUUCAUUGAAUCUUCAUGGAAAUCUUUUCAAUGUCAAGUUACUCCUGUAGAUAUCUUCAUUAGAAAACUCUAUCUUCUAAAAGGAAGAAUUAAGUGGUGGAGGAAAAAUGUUUAUGGAUCUCUAUUCUCUAGAAAUGAUAGUCUGCUAUCUAAAAUCAACUCCUUUGACUUAAUUGAAGAGCAAAGACCCUUAACUUCAACUGAGUUAGAUGAGAGAAAAUCUUAUCAAUCUUGUUAUGCCUCUAUCAUUCAAGAAGAAGAAGCUUACUGGCAACAAAGAUCUCGUAUCCAAUGGUCGAAAGAGGGUGAUGCUAAUACAUCUUUCUUCCAUAGAACAACUUCCAUUCACAAAAGAUCAAACCAUAUUGUUUCCAUCAAUCACUUGGGUACUGAUAUUACUGACAAUGGUGAAAUCGCUAAAGCUUUUUAUGAUUUUUAUCUUAACCUCUUUGGUCAAGAUAGCAUGAGCAACAUGACAGUUAACUGGGACUUCUUAUAUCCUUCCCAAAAUCAAAACUUUCUUCUU
Asparagus officinalis (garden asparagus) is the source of this 2652-nucleotide RNA transcript. RefSeq lists it as uncharacterized. The transcript has 4 exons. The record is from RefSeq and is a predicted model, not a curated record. Lineage: Eukaryota; Viridiplantae; Streptophyta; Magnoliopsida; Asparagales; Asparagaceae.